Peromyscus maniculatus bairdii (prairie deer mouse) is the source of this 813-nucleotide non-coding RNA. The record is from RefSeq and is a predicted model, not a curated record. NCBI's taxonomy places the organism in Eukaryota, Metazoa, Chordata, Mammalia, Rodentia, Cricetidae.
GUUGCUGUCUCCACAUAGUUUGGUCCUUCUUUUGUGCCAUUUGGAUAAUGCCCAUUUUAUGCACUGGCUCAUGACCCCAUGAGGCAGACAUGGAAACAAUGGUGAAUUCACUACUGAACUAGCCAGCAAGUAUGCACAUACUUUUUUUUUUUAGAGGUUAGCAGAAUACUUUGGGUUGUUUUUCAGGUGCUCCAUAUGCCUGCACGUGACCAAGGAAACUGGGAGGCUCAACCAAGCACUGAGCAUUGAAAACAGCAGGAAAGGUUCACAAUGGCAGAAUCUCACCACAGUUCCCUCCCCUGAGCACAGCCGGGUCUCUCUACCUGACCCUUAUCCAUGUGCUCACUCUCACCGUUUUCCAUCUGGUUAGGUUUCUGCUUUCUCUACCCUGCUGAGAGCUUUCACACAGGGUGAUUGUGAUGUACACACACACACACACACACACACACACACACACACACACACACACGACUGUACCAUGUCCAGUCCCCAAUGAAAGCAGCGAUUCCAGACUUGCCUUGUUAAGGUCCCUAUCAAUUGUCAGCUGGAAUUACACUGUGCACCUUCCCCCACCCAGACACAACUGUGUGUAAUGGCCCUGGACCUCAGUGGCCUUCAAUUUCAUGCAUAUAUUUAUCUUUUUUCCAUUACUAAAAAUACCUUUAGGGCUUGCUUUCUAUUUGACUGAGUGAUUGCAUGCCUGUCCCCAGCUUCUAACUCCCAAUACCCAGUGCCCUGGACAUUGCUUUGUACAGUCUUCAGGCAGAGAUUUGUGGGGGGAAAAAGACUGUAUUUUCAUUAUAUAAGCUCAAA